UACGGAGGGUGCAAACGUUGCUCGGAAUUAUUGGGCGUAAAGCGCACGUAGGCGGCCGAUUAAGUCGGGUGUGAAAGCCCAGGGCUCAACCCUGGAAGUGCACUCGAAACUGGACGGCUUGAGUAUGGAAGAGGGUUGCGGAAUUCCCGGUGUAGAGGUGAAAUUCGUAGAUAUCGGGAAGAACACCAAUGGCGAAAGCACUCUGCUGGGCCGAAACUGACACUGAGAGACGAAAGCUAGGGGAGCGAAUGGG
Molecule: ribosomal RNA, 253 nt
Filed under: uncultured bacterium
Lineage: Bacteria
Description: partial 16S ribosomal RNA
Rfam family: Bacterial small subunit ribosomal RNA
Source: RNAcentral